RNAcentral lists this long non-coding RNA (459 nucleotides) under Sorghum bicolor (sorghum). Its description in RNAcentral is "long non-coding RNA (SBIC_LNC009615)". Lineage: Eukaryota; Viridiplantae; Streptophyta; Magnoliopsida; Poales; Poaceae. The record is from RNAcentral.
AGAUGUAGUGGCAUUAUUCUUUCCAUAGCAGGUGACAUGAUCUGUGGACCCAAUCUUUUUUGGAAGUGCUUAUAGAGGUGUGUGCAUAGAUGUACGUAAGUGUCUGCAUCUGUUUCCCACAAAAAAGAAAACAAAGCAAAAAGGUUUUACCUUAUGUAAAAAAGUUCCAUUUCUGUUCUUCUUUUUUUCAUAAUUGCGACCUUCAUCUGAAUAUUUGGAAUCGUCGGAAUUACAAGUAGUUAAAUCAAGUUCACAUAUAAUUUAUUUUUUUGUUGAAUCAAUGAUUUGAUGUGUAGAGAAGGACAUCACUAAGUGAUGAACAGAUGAAGCAUUGAAAACAAUAAAAAUGGGCCAGUCUUAUAAUAUAUGUGGAUGACAAAUGUUUCUAUAUAUACACUAAUAAUUAAUGCCGCCACCACUGAAACCUGUGGAGGAUUAGGUCCAGGCGUCCAGCAGAUC